Molecule: long non-coding RNA, 712 nt
Filed under: Prunus dulcis (almond)
Lineage: Eukaryota; Viridiplantae; Streptophyta; Magnoliopsida; Rosales; Rosaceae
Description: sRNA ncRNA
Source: RNAcentral
GUCAUCGUAUGAUUGGCUGGUCCAAACCAAUCAUUGAGUUAAGACUUUGACUCAGAUUUUUUUUUAAAGAUACAACUAGGUUCUAUGAUACUAUUUCGUGAACUCAUUUAAUCUUGACCAGUGAUCUAUUAUAGGAUUAGAUCAGGACCGUGGAUCAAAUCAAAGACUUAUGAUUUGAUCUGGGCCAUUAGAUAGGUAAUUGGGAAUGCAUCUGGACCAUCAAUCUUUAAGAUCAAGUCAAAGACUCAUCUUUUAAUUCAGGCAUUUGAAUUAAAUAUUCGAAUUAAUUCGAACCGUUCGAGUUUUUUUUAUAAAUACCUAUUUCCUCCUCCCAUUUUCUUCACAAUAAUAUAUUCUCAAAAAUCUUCCUCCAUCUUCCUCUCCUCCUCACAAUCACCAUUCCGAUAUUCUUCGAAGUUACUAUUCACAUUCACUACUCACCCAAGUUACUAUUCAUCUAAAGCCACUAUUCAUGCCCAAAAUCGCUCGUCGUGCCUACUAUUCAUCGUUUUGUGUCAUGUUCACUUCGGCAAAAUAGUGAGAUGAAUAGUACCCCCUGGGUCAAAAUGACACGAAGCAAUGAAUAGUAAGCACGACGAAUGACUUCAGAUAUGAAUAAUUUUUUAUGAUGAAUAUUGACUAUGAAUAAUAACUCCGAAGAAUAUCGAAUAGUGACUUUAAUGGAGGAGGAAGAAGGGGAUGAAGGUUUUUG